UGUAAUUAGACGUUAAACGAU
RNAcentral lists this non-coding RNA (21 nucleotides) under Caenorhabditis elegans. Lineage: Eukaryota; Metazoa; Nematoda; Chromadorea; Rhabditida; Rhabditidae. The record is from RNAcentral.